AGUGAACGCUGGCGGUAGGCCUAACACAUGCAAAUCGAACGGCAGCACAGUAAGAGCUUGCUCUUACGGGUGGCGAGUGGCGGACGGGUGAGGAAUACAUCGGAAUCUACUUUUUCGUGGGGGAUCACGUAGGGAAACUUACGCUAAUACCGCAUACGACCUACGGGUGAAAGCAGGGGAUCUUCGGACCUUGCGCGAUUGAAUGAGCCGAUGUCGGAUUAGCUAGUUGGCGGGGUAAAGGCCCACCAAGGCGACGAUCCGUAGCUGGUCUGAGAGGAUGGUCAGCCACACUGGAACUGAGACACGGUCCAGACUCCUACGGGAGGCAGCAGUGGGGAAUAUUGGACAAUGGGCGCAAGCCUGAUCCAGCCAGACCGCGUGGGUGAAGAAGGCCUUCGGGUUGUAAAGCCCUUUUGUUGGGAAAGAAAAGCAGCAGGUUAAUACCCCGCUGUUCUGACGGUACCCAAAGAAUAAGCACCGGCUAACUUCGUG
Molecule: ribosomal RNA, 492 nt
Filed under: uncultured bacterium
Lineage: Bacteria
Description: partial 16S ribosomal RNA
Rfam family: Bacterial small subunit ribosomal RNA
Source: RNAcentral